UACGUAGGGGGCUAGCGUUGUCCGGAAUCAUUGGGCGUAAAGCGCGUGUAGGCGGUCCGGUAAGUCCGCUGUGAAAGUCGAGGGCUCAACCCUCGAAUGCCGGUGGAUACUGUCGGGCUAGAGUGCGGAAGAGGCGAGUGGAAUUCCGGUGUAGCGGUGAAAUGCGCAGAUAUCAGGAGGAACACCUAUUGCGAAGGCAGCUCGCUGGGACGUUACUGACGCUGAGACGCGAAAGCGUGGGGAGCAAACAGG
This 252-nucleotide ribosomal RNA is filed under the name uncultured bacterium. RNAcentral's name for it is "partial 16S ribosomal RNA". It matches the Rfam family "Bacterial small subunit ribosomal RNA", at positions 524 to 776 of the family's 1533-position model. The record is from RNAcentral.